UCACUGCUAAAAUGAUAAAAGAAUAUACACCAGCAAUCAGUGGUAGAGUUGGAGUUGGGUGUUAUGAGCAGAGAUGAUACAGGGGCGCUUGCAUCCCAGAAAGAAACAACUGAAGCUGCUGAUUUUGGGGAGGGCCCGCUUAAGACCGAGAGCCACUGAUGAGUGGGACGAAUAGUGCUUGUUUGAUUGAAUCAAUUUCGACAUUAUUGUAAACAUAACUUAAGCAUA
Prunus avium (sweet cherry) is the source of this 228-nucleotide non-coding RNA. Lineage: Eukaryota; Viridiplantae; Streptophyta; Magnoliopsida; Rosales; Rosaceae. The record is from RefSeq and is a predicted model, not a curated record.